RNAcentral lists this ribosomal RNA (387 nucleotides) under Triticum aestivum (bread wheat). RNAcentral describes it as "partial small subunit ribosomal RNA". Lineage: Eukaryota; Viridiplantae; Streptophyta; Magnoliopsida; Poales; Poaceae. The record is from RNAcentral.
AUGGAUGAGCACGAGCCCAGCCUUGAGCUCACCCUCCGCAUGAGCUCGGCAGCUGAGGCGGAGCAGGGCGGCUUCUUCCUCUGCGUCUACUGCGACCGCAAGUUCCGCAGCUCGCAGGCGCUCGGCGGCCACCAGAACGCGCACAAGCACGAGCGCAGCCUCGCCCACCGCCGGCGGGAGAUGGCCGCCGCCACGGGUGCACACGGGGCGGCCGGAACACGCGCGCCUGCGGCGCAGGACGAGAGGCCCAGGUAUGUUUCCGCCGGCGAUUUCGUCGAGCCUUCCGCUGGGAAGGCGGGGAGGACGGAGGCAAGGGCGUGGAAGGUUGCUGCUGCUCCCGAGUACGGCUACCGCGCCGAUGAUGUGGACCUGUCGCUCAGGCUAUGA